GAUGUACGCUGGCGGCGUGCCUAAUACAUGCAAGUCGAGCGAACAGACGAGGAGCUUGCUCCUCUGACGUUAGCGGCGGACGGGUGAGUACCACGUGGAUAACCUACCUAUAAGACUGGGAUAACUUCGGGAAACCGGAGCUAAUACCGGAUAAUAUAUUGAACCGCAUGGUUCAAUAGUGAAAGACGGUUUUGCUGUCACUUAUAGAUGGAUCCGCGCCGCAUUAGCUAGUUGGUAAGGUAACGGCUUACCAAGGCAACGAUGCGUAGCCGACCUGAGAGGGUGAUCGGCCACACUGGAACUGAGACACGGUCCAGACUCCUACGGGAGGCAGCAGUAGGGAAUCUUCCGCAAUGGGCGAAAGCCUGACGGAGCAACGCCGCGUGAGUGAUGAAGGUCUUCGGAUCGUAAAACUCUGUUAUUAGGGAAGAACAAAUGUGUAAGUAACUAUGCACGUCUUGACGGUACCUAAUCAGAAAGCCACGGCUAACUACGUG
RNAcentral lists this ribosomal RNA (497 nucleotides) under uncultured bacterium. Its description in RNAcentral is "partial 16S ribosomal RNA". It matches the Rfam family "Bacterial small subunit ribosomal RNA", at positions 28 to 507 of the family's 1533-position model. The record is from RNAcentral.